AAAUGGGGCGCGCUAUUUUAUUCUGAAGUACGUGUCGAUUCCGUAUUUUAAGGGACGGGUGGCAAUCCUAGUUUAGAGACGCACAGAGUGCUAUUGUGCUGGGCCUUACAGGGAAUGUGACACUUUUGUGAACCUGCACCAGGGCUUGACAAGUAUACGCAAGUAUGAAGGAAACUGUUCUGGCAGUGCCCUCCACCCUCCUAUCAGUCACUUCUGAUUCUUUUCAAAAAUUCAUAAGUGAUCUUGAGCAAUUCUUUUGUUAUUUAUGUGAGAUAAAUUACAUGUUCAUUUAGGUACUGUUUUGAAAGAACAUGUGUUCAAACUAAUUGGUCAAAUUGUGCUGAUCUUUGAUUCAAGUAGAAUACAAUAUAUUUUUGCUGUCAGUUUUAUCAGUUUCUAUAGCAUAAUUUUUUUUUUUUUUAAGGUUUAAGAUAUAUAUUUUACUAUAUUAGUAUACAUACGUAGAUGUGGACAUAGAGAUCUGCUAAAAACUUGUGGUUUAUUUGACAUGCUUGUAAUAAACUUUUCUAAAAGGAU
Long non-coding RNA from Carassius auratus (goldfish), 537 nucleotides. RefSeq lists it as uncharacterized. The record is from RefSeq and is a predicted model, not a curated record. The transcript has 3 exons. Lineage: Eukaryota; Metazoa; Chordata; Actinopteri; Cypriniformes; Cyprinidae.